CCUCUUGAAAAGCUUUUUCUUCAUGUAGUCUGAAUUUUCAUCCAUCUCUAGUCAGAUUGGUAUGUCAUAUAUACCUCUAGAUAUUAUUCUUUGUACAAUAUGCCAAUUACCUCAAUACUUCGGAUCCUUCAAAUAUAUUAUUUAUUUCGCUUAAGUUGCUAAUAUAUACGACUCAUUCUGGUACCAUGUUUGUGCAAAAUUUAUACUAGUAAAGUAACCCUAUC
This 224-nucleotide long non-coding RNA is filed under the name Elaeis guineensis (African oil palm). RNAcentral describes it as "long non-coding RNA (EGUI_LNC037331)". The record is from RNAcentral. Lineage: Eukaryota; Viridiplantae; Streptophyta; Magnoliopsida; Arecales; Arecaceae.